This 429-nucleotide ribosomal RNA is filed under the name bacterium. Its description in RNAcentral is "partial 16S ribosomal RNA". It matches the Rfam family "Bacterial small subunit ribosomal RNA", at positions 355 to 776 of the family's 1533-position model. The record is from RNAcentral.
UAGGGAAUCUUCGGCAAUGGGGGCAACCCUGACCGAGCAACGCCGCGUGAGUGAAGAAGGUUUUCGGAUCGUAAAGCUCUGUUGUAAGAGAAGAACGUGUGUGAGAGUGGAAAGUUCACACAGUGACGGUAACUUACCAGAAAGGGACGGCUAACUACGUGCCAGCAGCCGCGGUAAUACGUAGGUCCCGAGCGUUGUCCGGAUUUAUUGGGCGUAAAGCGAGCGCAGGCGGUUUAAUAAGUCUGAAGUUACAGGCAGUGGCUUAACCAUUGUUCGCUUUGGAAACUGUUAAACUUGAGUGCAGAAGGGGAGAGUGGAAUUCCAUGUGUAGAGGUGAAAUGCGUAGAUAUAUUGAGGAACACCGGUGGCGAAAGCGGCUCUCUGGUCUGUAACUGACGCUGAGGCUCGAAAGCGUGGGGAGCAAACAGG